RNAcentral lists this ribosomal RNA (3028 nucleotides) under Salmonella enterica subsp. enterica serovar Indiana. RNAcentral describes it as "23S ribosomal RNA". It matches the Rfam family "Bacterial large subunit ribosomal RNA". The record is from RNAcentral. Lineage: Bacteria; Pseudomonadati; Pseudomonadota; Gammaproteobacteria; Enterobacterales; Enterobacteriaceae.
GGGUUGUGAGGUUAAGCGACUAAGCGUACACGGUGGAUGCCCUGGCAGUCAGAGGCGAUGAAGGACGUGCUAAUCUGCGAUAAGCGCCGGUAAGGUGAUAUGAACCGUUAUAACCGGCGAUUUCCGAAUGGGGAAACCCAGUGUGACUCGUCACACUAUCAUUAACUGAAUCCAUAGGUUAAUGAGGCGAACCGGGGGAACUGAAACAUCUAAGUACCCCGAGGAAAAGAAAUCAACCGAGAUUCCCCCAGUAGCGGCGAGCGAACGGGGAGGAGCCCAGAGCCUGAAUCAGCAUGUGUGUUAGUGGAAGCGUCUGGAAAGGCGCGCGAUACAGGGUGACAGCCCCGUACACAAAAGCGCAUGUGCUGUGAGCUCGAUGAGUAGGGCGGGACACGUGGUAUCCUGUCUGAAUAUGGGGGGACCAUCCUCCAAGGCUAAAUACUCCUGACUGACCGAUAGUGAACCAGUACCGUGAGGGAAAGGCGAAAAGAACCCCGGCGAGGGGAGUGAAAAAGAACCUGAAACCGUGUACGUACAAGCAGUGGGAGCCCCACCACUAAGCCAGUGGUGAACUCCACAUACGCAUCCUUUGCUGAUGGCAAUGGUUAACGGAGCGAAAGCGACGUUCAACCGCAAAACAAGCAGAGGGGGCUUAGUGGUGGGGUGACUGCGUACCUUUUGUAUAAUGGGUCAGCGACUUAUAUUCUGUAGCAAGGUUAACCGUAUAGGGGAGCCGCAGGGAAACCGAGUCUUAACCGGGCGUUAAGUUGCAGGGUAUAGACCCGAAACCCGGUGAUCUAGCCAUGGGCAGGUUGAAGGUUGGGUAACACUAACUGGAGGACCGAACCGACUAAUGUUGAAAAAUUAGCGGAUGACCUGUGGCUGGGGGUGAAAGGCCAAUCAAACCGGGAGAUAGCUGGUUCUCCCCGAAAGCUAUUUAGGUAGCGCCUCGUGAAUUCAUCUCCGGGGGUAGAGCACUGUUUCGGCUAGGGGGCCAUCCCGGCUUACCAACCCGAUGCAAACUGCGAAUACCGGAGAAUGUUAUCACGGGAGACACACGGCGGGUGCUAACGUCCGUCGUGAAGAGGGAAACAACCCAGACCGCCAGCUAAGGUCCCAAAGUCAUGGUUAAGUGGGAAACGAUGUGGGAAGGCCCAGACAGCCAGGAUGUUGGCUUAGAAGCAGCCAUCAUUUAAAGAAAGCGUAAUAGCUCACUGGUCGAGUCGGCCUGCGCGGAAGAUGUAACGGGGCUAAACCAUGCACCGAAGCUGCGGCAGCGACACUGUGUGUUGUUGGGUAGGGGAGCGUUCUGUAAGCCUGCGAAGGUGGCCUGUGAGGGUUGCUGGAGGUAUCAGAAGUGCGAAUGCUGACAUAAGUAACGAUAAAGCGGGUGAAAAGCCCGCUCGCCGGAAGACCAAGGGUUCCUGUCCAACGUUAAUCGGGGCAGGGUGAGUCGACCCCUAAGGCGAGGCCGAAAGGCGUAGUCGAUGGGAAACGGGUUAAUAUUCCCGUACUUGGUGUUACUGCGAAGGGGGGACGGAGAAGGCUAUGUUGGCCGGGCGACGGUUGUCCCGGUUUAAGCGUGUAGGUGUGUGUUCCAGGUAAAUCCGGUUCACUUUAACACUGAGGCGUGACGACGAGGCACUACGGUGCUGAAGCAACAAAUGCCCUGCUUCCAGGAAAAGCCUCUAAGCAUCAGGUAACAUCAAAUCGUACCCCAAACCGACACAGGUGGUCAGGUAGAGAAUACCAAGGCGCUUGAGAGAACUCGGGUGAAGGAACUAGGCAAAAUGGUGCCGUAACUUCGGGAGAAGGCACGCUGACAUGUAGGUGAAGUGAUUUACUCAUGGAGCUGAAGUCAGUCGAAGAUACCAGCUGGCUGCAACUGUUUAUUAAAAACACAGCACUGUGCAAACACGAAAGUGGACGUAUACGGUGUGACGCCUGCCCGGUGCCGGAAGGUUAAUUGAUGGGGUCAGCGCAAGCGAAGCUCCUGAUCGAAGCCCCGGUAAACGGCGGCCGUAACUAUAACGGUCCUAAGGUAGCGAAAUUCCUUGUCGGGUAAGUUCCGACCUGCACGAAUGGCGUAAUGAUGGCCAGGCUGUCUCCACCCGAGACUCAGUGAAAUUGAACUCGCUGUGAAGAUGCAGUGUACCCGCGGCAAGACGGAAAGACCCCGUGAACCUUUACUAUAGCUUGACACUGAACAUUGAGCCUUGAUGUGUAGGAUAGGUGGGAGGCUUUGAAGUGUGGACGCCAGUCUGCAUGGAGCCGACCUUGAAAUACCACCCUUUAAUGUUUGAUGUUCUAACGUGGACCCGUAAUCCGGGUUGCGGACAGUGUCUGGUGGGUAGUUUGACUGGGGCGGUCUCCUCCUAAAGAGUAACGGAGGAGCACGAAGGUUGGCUAAUCCUGGUCGGACAUCAGGAGGUUAGUGCAAUGGCAUAAGCCAGCUUGACUGCGAGCGUGACGGCGCGAGCAGGUGCGAAAGCAGGUCAUAGUGAUCCGGUGGUUCUGAAUGGAAGGGCCAUCGCUCAACGGAUAAAAGGUACUCCGGGGAUAACAGGCUGAUACCGCCCAAGAGUUCAUAUCGACGGCGGUGUUUGGCACCUCGAUGUCGGCUCAUCACAUCCUGGGGCUGAAGUAGGUCCCAAGGGUAUGGCUGUUCGCCAUUUAAAGUGGUACGCGAGCUGGGUUUAGAACGUCGUGAGACAGUUCGGUCCCUAUCUGCCGUGGGCGCUGGAGAACUGAGGGGGGCUGCUCCUAGUACGAGAGGACCGGAGUGGACGCAUCACUGGUGUUCGGGUUGUCAUGCCAAUGGCACUGCCCGGUAGCUAAAUGCGGAAGAGAUAAGUGCUGAAAGCAUCUAAGCACGAAACUUGCCCCGAGAUGAGUUCUCCCUGAGACUUAAAGUCUCCUGAAGGAACGUUGAAGACGACGACGUUGAUAGGCCGGGUGUGUAAGCGCAGCGAUGCGUUGAGCUAACCGGUACUAAUGAACCGUGAGGCUUAACCUUACAACGCCGAAG